RNAcentral lists this ribosomal RNA (267 nucleotides) under uncultured bacterium. RNAcentral describes it as "partial 16S ribosomal RNA". It matches the Rfam family "Bacterial small subunit ribosomal RNA", at positions 88 to 354 of the family's 1533-position model. The record is from RNAcentral.
CCGGCGACCGGCGCACGGUGAGUAACACGUAUGCAACCUGGGCCGCCACAGGGGAUAACCCGCGGAAACGCGGCCUAAUACCCCGUGACGCCACCGGAGGGCAUCCUCCGGUGGCCAAAGGAGCGAUCCGGUGGCGGAUGGGCAUGCGGCGCAUUAGCUAGACGGCGGGGUGACGGCCCACCGUGGCGACGAUGCGUAGGGGUUCUGAGAGGAAGGCCCCCCACACUGGGACUGAGACACGGCCCAGACUCCUACGGGAGGCAGCAG